This 1014-nucleotide long non-coding RNA is filed under the name Apteryx rowi (Okarito brown kiwi). Its description in RNAcentral is "lncRNA (ENSARWG00000003667.1)". The record is from RNAcentral. Lineage: Eukaryota; Metazoa; Chordata; Aves; Apterygiformes; Apterygidae.
GGGGGUCCAGAAGGUCCCCAUGGGGGUCCCCCACCUCCAUGUCCUCGACUUCUUCCUCUUAGGGGUCCCCAAAGUCCAUGGGGGGUGGGUGGGGGGGGGUCUUCAAAGGGGUCCUGCCACCUCGCCGAGGUGUCCCCAAGGUCCCCCAAGGCGCCCCCCCAGCUCGCUAUGGGGGGGCUCCCACCUCCAUGUCCUCGUCUUCUUCUUCUAAGGGGUCCCCGACACCCCUGGGGACAUUCCCGAAGGGGUCCUCCCCCUCCCCAAGGUCCUCCAGAGGGUCCCCGAGGUCCUCCAGAGGGUCCCCGAGGUCCUCCAGGGGGUCCCUGAGGUCCUCCAGGGGGUCCCCGAGGUCCUCUACUGGGUCCUCAAGGUCAUCCAAGGAGUCCCUGAGCUCCUCCACGGGGUCCCCGAGGUCCUCCACGGGGUCCCCGAGGUCCUCCAGAGGGUCCCCGAGGUCCUCCAGGGGGUUCCCAAGGUCCUCCACGGGGUCCCCGAGGUCCUCCAGAGGGUUCCCGAGGUCCUCCACAGGGUUCCCAAGGUCCUCCAGAGGGUCCCCGAGGUCCUCCACGGGGUCCCCGAGGUCCUCCAGAGGGUCCCCGAGGUCCUCCAGAGGGUCCUCCAGGGGGUCCUCCAGAAGGUCCCCGAGGUCCUCCACGGGGGGUUCCCCGGGAAGCCGCAGCAACGGAUCCCCCCCGUCCAAAGGUUCCCCCAUAUCGAGGUGAGGCCGGAGACCCCGGGGAGCCACGGCGGCCACGAGGGCACGGGCCAAGCGAGCGGGACACCGUACCAAACGGGCCGCCCGAGCCAAACGAGGCGCGACGCUACGAGGCGACCCAUCCAGAAGCUCCCGGGCUGCCCGGGCGGCCAAAGGACCGCAAGCCCAGCGCUCGGCCAAAACCCAGAGGGCUCCGGGCGACGCCGAGACGCCGGCGGCCACGACGGCCUCCAAACCGGGCACCAGGUAACGCCGGGCCAAGGCGACGGCGGCGGCGGCGACGGCCGGGCCGAUGGGGC